CGCGUAGGCGGGAUGGCAAGUCGGUCAUGAAAUCCCUCGGCUCAACUGAGGGGCGUCGAUCGAUACUGCCGUUCUUGAGGAUUGCAGAGGAGACUGGAAUUCCCGGUGUAGCGGUGAAAUGUGUAGAGAUCGGGAGGAACACCGGUGGCGAAGGCGGGUCUCUGGGCAAUUCCUGACGCUGAGGCGCGAAAGCGUGGGGAGCAAACGGGAUUAGAUACCCCGGUAGUCCACGCUGUAAACGAUGACGACUAGGUGUGGGGGGGUUCAGUCCCUUCCGUGCCGCAGCUAACGCAUUAAGUCGUCCGCCUGGGGAGUACGGCCGCAAGGUUGAA
This 332-nucleotide ribosomal RNA is filed under the name uncultured bacterium. RNAcentral's name for it is "bacterial SSU rRNA". It matches the Rfam family "Bacterial small subunit ribosomal RNA", at positions 568 to 898 of the family's 1533-position model. The record is from RNAcentral.